RNAcentral lists this ribosomal RNA (774 nucleotides) under uncultured bacterium. Its description in RNAcentral is "bacterial SSU rRNA". It matches the Rfam family "Bacterial small subunit ribosomal RNA", at positions 28 to 915 of the family's 1533-position model. The record is from RNAcentral.
GAUGAACGCUAGCUACAGGCCUAACACAUGCAAGUCGAGGGACCGGCGAAUGGGUGAGUAACGCGUAUCCAACCUGCCCCGCGCCCGGGGAUAGCCCUUGGAAAUGGGAUUAAGACCCGAUAACGCGGGAUGGGGAUGCGUUGGAUUAGCCAGCCGGCAGGGCAGCGGCCUACCGGGGCGACGAUCCAUAGGGGUUCUGAGAGGAAGGUCCCCCACACUGGCACUGAGACACGGGCCAGACUCCUACGGGAGGCAGCAGUGAGGAAUAUUGGUCAAUGGGCAGAGCCUGAACCAGCCAAGUAGCGUGCAGGAUGACGGCCUACGGGUUGUAAACUGCUUUUGCGGGAGAAUAGGUAUCCCGUGAAUAAGGACCGGCUAAUUCCGUGCCAGCAGCCGCGGUAAUACGGAAGGUCCGGGCGUUAUCCGGAUUUAUUGGGUUUAAAGGGAGCGCAGGCGGAGGAUCAAGCCAGCCGUGAAAUGCGGCGCUCAAGCCGUCCGGCGGUUGGAACUGGUCCCCUUGAUUGGGGAGAGGAGGCGGAACUCGUGGUGUAGCGGUGAAAUGCAUAGAUAUCACGAAGAACCCCGAUUGCGAAGGCAGCUUCCGGCCGUAAAUGACGCUCAUGCUCGAAGGCGCGGGUAUCAAACAGGAUUAGAUACCCUGGUAGUCCGCGCGGUAAACGAUGAAUGCUCGGGAUUCGGGAGUCCCCCAGCGAAAGCGUUAAGCAUUCCACCUGGGGAGUACGCCGGCAACGGUGCAACUCAAAUGAAUUGACG